This 257-nucleotide ribosomal RNA is filed under the name uncultured bacterium. RNAcentral describes it as "partial 16S ribosomal RNA". It matches the Rfam family "Bacterial small subunit ribosomal RNA", at positions 76 to 334 of the family's 1533-position model. The record is from RNAcentral.
CUUGCUAAGGCCGAUGCGACCGGCGCACGGGUGAGUAACACGUAUCCAACCUACCGGUUAUUCCGGGAUAGCCUUUCGAAAGAAAGAUUAAUACCGGAUAGUAUAACGAGAAGGCAUCUUCUUGUUAUUAAAGAAUUUCGAUAACCGAUGGGGAUGCGUUCCAUUAGUUUGUUGGCGGGGUAACGGCCCACCAAGACAUCGAUGGAUAGGGGUUCUGAGAGGAAGGUCCCCCACAUUGGAACUGAGACACGGUCCAA